RNAcentral lists this unclassified non-coding RNA (220 nucleotides) under uncultured fungus. Its description in RNAcentral is "sequence contains ITS1". The stretch from base 1 to 93 matches the Rfam family "5.8S ribosomal RNA", at positions 50 to 154 of the family's 154-position model. The record is from RNAcentral. Lineage: Eukaryota; Fungi.
GAAAUGCGAUACGUAGUGUGAAUUGCAGAAUCGUGAAUCAUCGAGUCUUUGAACGCAUCUUGCGCCCUUUGGGGCAUGCCUGUUUGAGAACCACACCACCUCGCGUGCGGCGCUGGGCGCUUUCGACCGAAUCGCCUCAAAGACACCAGCCGGGAGUGCAGAAGCAGCCUCUCGUCUCACACACGGUCUCAAAUCAGGCAGGAGGACCCGCUGAACUUAA